UACGUAGGUGGCAAGCGAUACUCGGAAUCACUAGGCGUAAAGCGCAGGUAGGCGGUUUGGUAAGUCUCUUGUGAAAGCUCCUGGCUCAACUGGGAGAGGUCAAGGGAAACUACCGGACUAGAGUGUGGUAGGGGAUACUGGAAUUCCUGGUGUAGCGGUGAAAUGCGCAGAUAUCAGGAGGAACACCAAUUGCGAAGGCAGCUCGCUGGGACGUAACUGACGCUGAGACGCGAAAGCGUGGGGAGCAAACAGG
Molecule: ribosomal RNA, 253 nt
Filed under: uncultured bacterium
Lineage: Bacteria
Description: partial 16S ribosomal RNA
Rfam family: Bacterial small subunit ribosomal RNA
Source: RNAcentral